This 420-nucleotide ribosomal RNA is filed under the name uncultured bacterium. RNAcentral describes it as "bacterial SSU rRNA". It matches the Rfam family "Bacterial small subunit ribosomal RNA", at positions 358 to 772 of the family's 1533-position model. The record is from RNAcentral.
GGAAUUUUGGGCAAUGGGCGAAAGCCUGACCCAGCAACGCCGCGUGAAGGAUGAAAUCCCUCGGGAUGUAAACUUCGCAAGAACGGGAAGAAUAAGUAGGGGACAAUACCCCCUAUGAUGACGGUACCGUUUGUAAGCUCCGGCUAACUCCGUGCCAGCAGCCGCGGUAAUACGGGGGGAGCAAGCGUUGUUCGGAUUUACUGGGCGGAAAGGGCGCGUAGGCGGUCAGCACAAGUCGACUGUGAAAUCUCCGGGCUUAACCCGGAACGGUCAGCCGAUACUGCGGGGCUAGAGUGCAGAAGGGGCAACUGGAAUUCUCGGUGUAGCGGUGAAAUGCGUAGAUAUCGAGAGGAACACCUGCGGCGAAGGCGGGUUGCUGGGCUGACACUGACGCUGAGGCGCGAAAGCUAGGGGAGCGAA